CAUGUGAUGUGUAGGUUAGCCGCACAUCACGGGUUCGAACCCUUAAAAAGUAAAACAAUAGAGAGAUGUUUGUUACUUAGAUAUUUAAGUUUGUCAAGAGUUACAAACAUGCUUUUCUUUCUUUAUUUUAUUUCUCAGAAAAAAAGUUGUGGUAUAAACAUACGUUUUAAAUUAACCUUUUCUCAAAAAGAAAAAAAGAAAGUUACAAACAAGCAAUUCAUGGGUAAAUUCUUUAUGGAAAGUUGCCAGCCAAUUGGUAAGAAAAUAACUAUUAGUCUUGACUCUAUUGCAGAUUUGACUGGUAUGACAUGCAUUUUAAAAGAAUGGAGGAAGUACAUUAUUCUCUUUUAGAUUUCAAUUUGACUGGUCACGGGUUCGAGCCGUGGAAGCAACCACUGAUGCUUGCAUUAGGGUAGAUUUUCUACAUCACACCCCUUGGGGUACGCAGCCUUUUCCUGAACCCUGCUAAUGAGGGAUGCUUCGUGCACCGGACUGCCCUGCCCUGCCCUUUUAUUGUCUCUGGGCUGUACUUUAUUUUGUUCUGUUCUUGUCGCUAUCCUUGUUUUUGAAAAAAAAUAAAAAAUGCACCCUGUUAUUGCUAAUGGGAGUUUGGUAGUUAUCUGGCAGUUAUUUCUGUUCUUUUGGACAUUGUUUUGCUGGAUUUUCACAUGCAUGUUGGUAACUGUAUUAGUUUUGGCACUGUCUUUUGAUUA
Lycium barbarum (goji berry) is the source of this 713-nucleotide long non-coding RNA. RefSeq lists it as uncharacterized. The transcript has 2 exons. Lineage: Eukaryota; Viridiplantae; Streptophyta; Magnoliopsida; Solanales; Solanaceae. The record is from RefSeq and is a predicted model, not a curated record.